This 2181-nucleotide unclassified non-coding RNA is filed under the name Patiria miniata (bat star). Its description in RNAcentral is "uncharacterized LOC119746199, transcript variant X3". The record is from RNAcentral. Lineage: Eukaryota; Metazoa; Echinodermata; Asteroidea; Valvatida; Asterinidae.
UGCCUGAACAAGAGUCCUAACUCAGGUCAAUAGCUUACUUGUGCCUGUUACAGCAAGAGAACCAUAUAAAAAGAUCCAUAGUUCAUGUUUUGUCAAAGUGCAUAUAGCUGUCAGCUUUUGUCAAAAUUGCCAAACCAAUCCUCUACUGUAUCCCUCCCCAGGUCUUAAAAUAUUGCGGUGUUGUAGAUCCUGCAUCGUCCACGGCAUCAUUCAUGGCCUACGUCCCCUGCUGGGAUGGCGAGUGUGAAGAUCUACUUUGCGCCCAUGAAGAAGCAACGACCAACGAAGACAGGGAUAAAGCAGCCAGUGAUCUUUUCGGUAGGCUCUAUGAGAAAUGAAGGCAGAGAUGGACAGAGACUGUGGAAUCGAUGGAUUUCACCCAUUCCAGCUGUUGGGCAUGGCAAACCAUCAACAACUCACGGGUAGGUCCACAACCCCAACACAAUGUCCAAUUACUGCAAAUUCCAUCGCGUAUCAGCUGUUGAGCAACGGUCGCUUCCCCAACGCGAACAAGAACUUUACUAGAGUCCCAUCGGCGAGUCAAGGAGCUGCGCCAUGCGCAGGGGUGUGAUCCCAACCUUUCAGGCGACUUCACGGCACACAAACUCCAGUUGGCCAUCCAACGGCUAGAGACCGGCUAGGCUCCAGGCUGUUUGCCACACACGCCCACAAGCUGCUCACGACAUCAGCAGACGUCUCUAAGGUCGCCUGGGUAAAACCAGCUGGAGAGUCUGGUGGACCUCAGCAGAACCAUCUACCUAGGCUACACCGCUUCAUAAACGACCCUAAGGAUGUGUGCGGUCAAGACCUCCCACGAAAGCAGUGGACGACCCUCAACCAUCUGAGGACUGGAGUCGGAUACUAUGGUACAUACAUGAAAAGCUGGGGAUUGGCAGACAGCACUUCCUGCGACUGCAGAGAACCAAUCCAGACAGUAGACCACAUCAUCACCACCUGCCCAAAACACCGGUCGCCUGAUCAACCUGGAGGAUGACACACUGGCCUGGCUCACCUCGACAGAGCUGCAAGUCUAAGGACAUACAUGUACAACAGAAGAAGAAGUCCUAAAUUAACAACGCAAUCUCCAGUAUGUCAACUAGAUCUUCACCACAUACACUGACCCAGCACCCAACAGUACCAGCCUGGUAACACACCUCAUAGUCCCCCAGUCACAGCAGCCAUCGGAGACGGACACCUCAUCCCCGGGGCUAUGAGCAGACUGAUGGGCAGCAGCCGCAAAUCGAGUACCAGUAUGCCUGCAUCAAUGAUCCGAGCCAGAGCACUGCCAAUGGGGAAGUUGUCCUUAUUGAGAUACCAGACGAGGGAAGCAAAGGGGAUUUGGAGGACGAGACUUGCUACACAGAGCACAACUUGUCGCUGCUGCUGCAGGAGAAGGAAAGUCUGGAGAAGACUCUUGAGGAGGAGCAGACAACGUUGGCCCAGACAGAGCACAGGAUGAAAGGCACUAUAGAAAGGCUUCGUACAAAGGUUGGGUAUUUGUCCAACACAGACACGUCACUCAAUCAGCAGCUGUCCAUGAUUCACAAGUCCAGUUUGAAACGUCUAACCAACGACAGCGAGAACCAGUCCAUUUUGCAAGACUUACUGCAACACAUGUCUGAGCAGCACACCCAGCUGCUGCACCACCAUCUAGCACAGCUACGGCUGUACACUCAGGCCUGCGCAUUAUCCAAAUCAGCCCCGAGGAAUCUGCAGCUGAAUCUACAGUCUUGGUACCAUACCUUGCUGACCAAUCACAGGACAUCUCACACAUGUCCAUGAUGUCGUCCUCGGAGGGCACCCUUGGGAACAUGGAGCAGACAGUUGUCAUGACGAUAACGUCUGAGGAGGAUUCGGAGCCGCUCGGCAACACCGUGGAUAACCCCGGAGAUACUGUGGGACAUGACUCCUUGACUUGGGAUAUAAAGGACGUUCACUUGUCACCAAAUGACAUUCUGUACCUACUGACAAGCGAGGGACUGUCACCAAGACAUGACACCUCUGAGUCGGGUCACGUUUAUCAAUCAGGUAGAACUCAUCCACAUCACAACACAGGCUGUGAUGUCACGCAACAGGAUUUUCACAAGAACAAAAGUUGAAAAUUGAUUCUUUCCAACAGCAUGCCAAAAAUAUUCUGCCCCGAUGGCUUUGACAAAAGAACGUUUGAAGACAAUUGUCAAA